RNAcentral lists this ribosomal RNA (253 nucleotides) under uncultured bacterium. Its description in RNAcentral is "partial 16S ribosomal RNA". It matches the Rfam family "Bacterial small subunit ribosomal RNA", at positions 524 to 776 of the family's 1533-position model. The record is from RNAcentral.
UACGUAGGGUCCGAGCGUUGUCCGGAAUCAUUGGGCGUAAAGAGCGCGUAGGCGGUCCGGUAAGUCCGCUCUGAAAGUCCGGGGCUCAACCCCGGGAGGCGGGCGGAUACUGUCGGGCUAGAGUCCGGAAGAGGCGAGUGGAAUUCCUGGUGUAGCGGUGAAAUGCGCAGAUAUCAGGAGGAACACCAAUGGCGAAGGCAGCUCGCUGGGACGGUACUGACGCUGAGGCGCGAAAGCGUGGGGAGCAAACAGG